UAAGGAAUAUUGGUCAAUGGACGCAAGUCUGAACCAGCCAUGCCGCGUGAAGGAUGAAGGUCCUCUGGAUUGUAAACUUCUUUAUCUGGGACGAAACCCGGGAAUUCUUUCCCGAUUGACGGUACCAGAGGAAUAAGCACCGGCUAACUCCGUGCCAGCAGCCGCGGUAAUACGGAGGGUGCAAGCGUUAUCCGGAUUCACUGGGUUUAAAGGGAGCGUAGGAGGGCAGGGAAGUCAGUGGUGAAAUCUCCGGGCUUAACUCGGAAACUGCCGUUGAUACUCUCUGUCUUGAAUACCGUGGAGAUGAGCGGAAUAUGUCAUGUAGCGGUGAAAUGCUUAGAUAUGACAUAGAACACCAAUUGCGAAGGCAGCUCGUUACACGCAUAUUGACUCUGAGGCUCGAAAGCGUGGGGAUCAAACAGGAUUAGAUACCC
RNAcentral lists this ribosomal RNA (434 nucleotides) under uncultured bacterium. Its description in RNAcentral is "bacterial SSU rRNA". It matches the Rfam family "Bacterial small subunit ribosomal RNA", at positions 355 to 787 of the family's 1533-position model. The record is from RNAcentral.